RNAcentral lists this ribosomal RNA (642 nucleotides) under Triticum aestivum (bread wheat). Its description in RNAcentral is "partial small subunit ribosomal RNA". The record is from RNAcentral. Lineage: Eukaryota; Viridiplantae; Streptophyta; Magnoliopsida; Poales; Poaceae.
AUGGACCCAAUAGUCAACCAGGGGUGGACCUCAUCCGAGGUAGAGGAGGCAUGCUCACUCAUUGCUAGGCUCAACACCAACAAAAUCAUGUACGACGACAAUGAUGACAAGAACAAGAAGCAUAAUUACAUCAUGAAUUCUCUCCAUGCAUUGUUUCCUUCAAAGACCAUGAAAGAGGUAACAGAUCUUUAUGUUAAUCUCGCCGUGGAAAUGCAUAUGAUCCAACGGAGGGAGGGAACCCAUGUUACUAGUGGUAGCCCGCAAAACAUUUUCACCUUUUGUGACCCUGUCAACGGUAACUAUGAGCUACCGAAGGAGGAGAAUGGUGCUAGCAGCACACACGUUAUCUACACCAUGGGCGACCAUGCGAAUGAAAACUUCGGUGUACGAGACGAGGCAACAAUCAUGGACAACAAUGGAUUGUCCUUUGGUUGUGUAAUGGAGGAUACGGGGAUCACGGUGAUGGGUGAGGCACCGCUGAUGGCAGACACCAACAAGAUGGAGGUGUUGGAGAACAAUAUUUCCAUAGAUCAACCAGUUGUUGCCCCACAUCAAUGUGGUUUUUGGAUCGACGAGGAACACAGCAUGGGCGGCCUUGUUAAUGAAAACUUUGAGGUACAAGAGGACGAGGAUAGACCAUGA